Molecule: ribosomal RNA, 793 nt
Filed under: uncultured Planctomycetota bacterium
Lineage: Bacteria; Pseudomonadati; Planctomycetota
Description: bacterial SSU rRNA
Rfam family: Bacterial small subunit ribosomal RNA
Source: RNAcentral
GAAUUAUUGGGCGUAAAGGGUACGUAGGCGGCUGGUCAAGUCUGGGGUCAAAGGCCACAGCUCAACUGUGGGAAGGCCCUGGAAACUGACCGGCUAGAGUAGGUAGGGGUUGCGGGAAUUCCCGGUGUAGCGGUGAAAUGCGUAGAGAUCGGGAAGAACACCUGAGGCGGAAGCGCGCAACUGGGCCUCAACUGACGCUGAGGUACGAAAGCUAGGGGAGCGAAUGGGAUUAGAUACCCCAGUAGUCCUAGCCGUAAACGAUGGGCACUUGGCAGUGGGUUCGUCGAUGGGUCCACUGCCGGAGGGAAACCGUGAAGUGCCCCGCCUGGGGAGUAUGGUCGCAAGGCUGAAACUCAAAGGAAUUGACGGGGGCUCACACAAGCGGUGGAGCAUGUGGCUUAAUUCGAGGCUACGCGAAAAACCUUACCUGGGCUUGACAUGCAGGGAUUAGCGGCGGAAACGUCGUGACCCGCAAGGGGAACCUGCACAGGUGCUGCAUGGCUGUCGUCAGCUCGUGCCGUGAGGUGUCGGGUUAAGCCCCUUAACGAGCGAAACCCCUGCGGCCAGUUGCCAACACUCCUGUGGGGACUCUGGCCGGACCGCCGGCGUGAAGCCGGAGGAAGGUGGGGAUGACGUCAAGUCCUCAUGGCCCUUAUGCCCAGGGCUGCACACGUGCUACAAUGGCGGGGACAAAGCGUCGCCACGCCGUAAGGCCGAGCCAACCGCGUAAACCCCGCCCCAGUUCGGAUCGAGGGCUGCAACCCGCCCUCGUGAAGCCGGAAUCGCUAGUAAU